ACAGAGCACAUAAAAUAAUAAAACUUAAAUAAAAGAAGACGAGUCCAAAAGAGGGACCAACAUUAACGUUUUCUUUUUUUUUUUUUUUUUUGCUAAAAUUUGGUGCAUAUAUUAUAAAGGAGGCAAAAGCAUACAUAAUGUGAGAAUAUUACAAUGCUCUAGUGGAUAAAGUUAGUAAAUUCAUUCUGAGCCCCACAUGGUUCUUGGUCUCGAGAGAGAGUAGCCCAAAGGAAAACAUGGGCUUAGGAGCUUUUGCAGUAGAAGAAAUAAAGCCCAGAAUCAAAAUAUUCGUUGUCUUCCUCAAUGAAGUAAUCGAAAGGUCUCACGGUAGAGAGAACCAGAGUUGCAUGCAGGCACUCGAUUCCAUUGGGUCAGUUUCACGGAGCGAUGAGAUACGGUUUUUGACGGUGGAGGAGAUGGUUGAGAAUAUAGCUUCCUGCGACUUGAAGUGAGAUCGGUGGAGCCUAUUGUUGCGCUCACGCCAUAGUUCAUGAAUCAGCGUUUGCCAGGAUAGGAUUGUGAGAUAGCGCAACCGGUUAUCACCAGUGUAACGGAUCAGACCUUGCAAAGUAUCAUCCCAAUCGUCUGAGAUAAUGGCAAACUGAAGUUUCGCAGCAAGGUUUCUCCAAAUUCCAGAGGAGAAGGAGCAACAGAAAUAAAUGUGAUUUCUGCUCUCUGGAAGUAGGUUACACAGAAGACAGAGAGGAUCCGUCUGCAAUCCCCAAGACAGUAACCUAUCACGAGUGGGGCACCUAUUGAGUACAAACAUCCAAGAGUGGUACCCAGUCUGCUCCAUUCCGGCAUGUCCUCAUGUUCUGAGAGAGAUACAGUUGAUAGAAAAAUCUGGACUUGCUCCAUCUCCUGAGAUCUUGCCGGACCUAUAUCCCAAGUUUCUCCAACCCACAGCGAAGCUAGAGAUGAAGAGAGGGGAAUACCAUACUGUCUCGGUCCAUUAUGACCAACAAAGUUGAUGAGUUGGCCAAAUGGAGACCAUGGCGUUGUCCAGAAGAAGAUUGAAUUCCCAUUUCCUGAUUCUGUUUUAAAGAAAAGCAUCCAGAGAAGCUUUAAAGUGCAAGUACGGUUCCAUGAUGCAAUACUUCGAAUGCCUAAUCCCCCCUCUUCCUUAGGUGUCGUAACUGAAUCCCAAGCCACGCGUGCUGUAUACUUCCCCUCCAGAUUACCUUUCCAUAGAAAGGCCGCACACAUCGAGUUGAUCUGAUUGAUGCAUUCCACUGGGAGGAUGAAAGCAGCACACCAGAAAUUGAUAAUCCCCGAGAUCACUGAGCUUAAGAGUUGGAGUCUUCCUGCGAAAGACAGGUAUUUUACUGUCCAAGAGCUCAUUUUUGACUUGAUUUUUUGCAGUAGCGGUUCACAGUUGAUGAGCGAAAGCUUUUUUGUGUUCAAUGGGAGGCCUAGGUAGCGCAUAGGCAAGAAGCCUUGCGGGAUUCCGGAAGAAGCGACAAGGUCUUCAAUCUCCACAUUUGAGAUGCCAGCCGAGAACAAACAUGAUUUCUGAGGACUGAUUGCCAGCCCUGAAAUUAUCUGGAAGUCGGAAAGUACUGAGAUGAUGCCUUGCAAUGAGGGAAGCGAACCGUCUGAGAAGAUCAAGAGGUCAUCUGCAAAACAGAGGUGGGUAAGUUUUGAAUCUUUACAUCUUGGGUGAUACCCAAAUGUUCCAUCUUCAGCCGCUUUAUUAAGCUUGUGUGACAGCACAUUCAUUGCUAUACCAAACAGGUAAGGGCUAAGCGGAUCUCCUUGACGCAACCCUCGAGUACCACGGAAGAAGCCAUGGAGUGAACCAUUAAUUCCAACA
This is a long non-coding RNA of Brassica napus (rape), 1813 nucleotides long. RefSeq lists it as uncharacterized. The record is from RefSeq and is a predicted model, not a curated record. The transcript has 3 exons. NCBI's taxonomy places the organism in Eukaryota, Viridiplantae, Streptophyta, Magnoliopsida, Brassicales, Brassicaceae.